This is a long non-coding RNA of Apteryx owenii (little spotted kiwi), 3068 nucleotides long. NCBI's taxonomy places the organism in Eukaryota, Metazoa, Chordata, Aves, Apterygiformes, Apterygidae. The record is from Ensembl.
AAUCACUUAAGCAUGAGUUUGACAGCGAACAUGUUAUUGCAGCAAUGUAAGAGUGCUUACAGCCAUAUUCUCAACUGGGAAGCUGCGAUCAAAACAGAUGGUUUCACCGUCUCUUUCUUAAAUGUAUCCUCUAAAAACAUAGUAAUUGUACUGUCCAAGUCUAUUUAUGUAUAUUUGGUGAUCUAUGUAAUAUAUUUUUUUACUUUAAUCAUUGGUAGCUCAUAGCUUUUUCUUCUGUCUGAAGCUUUGGCAGUUCCCGGAGUUUGUUGUCUUUGAGCUGAGAUGAUUUUUAUGAAAACCUCUCAGAGGUGGAACAGCUCUAAUUUGGUAUGGAACUAAGCAGUUAGGAAAGCUUCUGGAUAUCUGGGUAAUAGUAAAACAUCAAGCAAAUGAAUAUUUCUAUAAUUUGGAGGAGAAGUAGAUCCUCAAGGCACAAAGUUCUGUUCGUUGUUACCUGCUUUGUUCUUCUGUGAAGUUAUUUCAAGAAAGAAGGGAUUUGCAAAUGAAAUUUUAACUAGAAAAUUGUAACAUAUUUUCUUUUAAGACAGUAUAAGACUCUUGUAAGACAGUAUAAGACCUGUUAAUUCAAGGACAGAAAAGCCAUUCAUUUGUUUUAUCAGCAUUCGCUGUUCAUGAGAGCAAUCCAGUUAUCUUUAGUACUUGUCACGCUCUGCCUAUAAGGUUAUGAAUUAUAAUAGAAAAAUUCUGUAAUGCGAUGGUUUGUUGCAUAGCAAAUGAACAAUUCCUUGCAUGGAUUCCAAGUGUGGGUAGGCAAAAAAACAAAAGCAGCCCUGGAACUAGGGAGAUGCUUGGUCUAACUCUCGUCUGCGCGGGGAGUGAAAUGGACCCGGAUGUGGAGGAAACGUCGGCAAAGGAUCCUGCUGUUUGUCUGAAGUUAACUGAACCGUUAUGGCGCGCUCACAGAAGCGCUCUAAGGGAUUCACUGUCCUGCAAGUCACCAGGGAAUUCUCAGGAACUGAAACUGCAGACCUCACUGGAGCUAAAUGCCAGGAUCCACAAGGACAGAGCAAUAUUCAGCUCAGUCUCUGUGCUUUGCCUACUGGGAACAUCCAGUUUCAUGUCACGUGGCAGAGGCCAGCAAAGACCGCAGAGUGCACAAAUGAAUCAUGAAGGAUGAUUUCUGUGAAAGCUCGUGAAGCCCCAACCCAGCUAUAGGAAGAGAUUCAGUUAGAAAUGGAAAUACAUGUUAUGGUCCUGAUUCAGCCAGAAGCAGAAACACUUACUUCGCUGUUAAGCAUUGUGAACUUGUGUUUUGGUUUGUUUUGUUUUGCUUUGGUAUUCCAGCACAUUCUUGUAUUGUGCUUUGGAAGAACUUGCACGGGCUUGGGUGCCCGUUAAGCCCACGGCUCCUUCUCCGUCGCAGAACCUGUUGGACAUUAAGCUGUUACAAGUGCUCGGGCACAAAAAAGCUCCCUGUAUCUUUCCGCCUGUUUACAUUUUGAGAGCAGUGUGGCUGGGCUAAUUUUGUGUGUGACCAUGUUGAACUAAUUCCUGAACUUGCAAGAAAACUGUUAAUUAAAAAAAGCAAAUCAAUUAUACUGCCUAAUUGUGUGCAUUUCCAAAGAGUGUCAGUGCUUCAGGGGAGAAAUGUCUUUCAAGGGUGUAGCUACUCUGCAGCAGGGUACUUAAUUCUAGCAGGGGUUGCUCGGUUCAGAGCAAGCAGCUCUGUUGUCAGCUCUGCCAGACAAGAGAGGCAGAAAUGGGGAUCUUCUGCGAUGGGUGUUGUGGCAGUGGGCAAUGGUUGUUCCUGAGAAACUGGAAAAGCAGUGAAGAAAUACAGAUUCUCCCAGAGAAAUGCAGAAGACGUCACAUGCAAAAGAACCUGGAGAGUCUGGGUAAAAUGUGCUAAUAGUCCUGAUCGGGGUUGGAUUUGGUCUGCUUUACUGUGUGAGUAAUCCUGCUGUAGAGAAUUGCUGGCAAAAAAAUAAGAGCUAAUUGAAAAAAAAAAAAAAAAAAAAGGGGGGGGGGAAAGAAAACAAAAACAAACAAAGAAGAAGAUCAGAUGCUGACCAGAUGGACCUGUGGAUAAAGCCAGGCAGAAAUUCCAUCCUUUCUGUGGUAUAGCUAUAAAUGCCUGUCAUCUUGUGUGUACUUGCUCCUAUUGUGUUGGAACAUCCCAUCUAUAAAUUGCUACAGUUUCUCUGUUUUAGGUCAUAGGGUCAAUAGCAAGAUAAUUCCAAGAGAUUAAUUCAAGCCACGCGAUCCAAAUGGUGCCAACAACUGUGCUUUUCUCUACUUAAGCCAUGAGGUGCAAUGAGGAUAGCAUCUAAAAACUGCAGCUCCCAGAUGCCUGCAUGAAGUUGCAUAGCUCUGCGUUUGAAUGUGUUUGUGUGUCCACGUGGGCGACUGAUGACAGCCGGCAGGUAUCCCCUCGACUCUGAACUGCGCCGCACUGUGCGAGAACGAUGCUCACGUCCAUCGCGUGGCCUGCUGACAACCUGAAUCGAAUGUUCACUUCACUGAGCUUUGCUUCAUCCCAAGGUCAUGGGGCCUUGGCAAGGUUUAAGAAAUGGAAUAAUGAAAAAUCAAAGUCGGAUUAAAAAAUGAAUUUAGGCCUGGAAUCAUCACUGCACUUAAAUACACGACUGAUGUUCAGCAUGUUGAAGUUUUAUGGAUAUCAACAGGACUGCUGACAAACUGAGGAUCCCUGAGCGGGCACAGGUCCUAAACCCACAGAUAUUUGCACAGACUUGGGCUUCGUGUCUUCAUAUCAGUCUAACUUCACUAAUUUCCACUAAUUUCAUUCACAGCAUCUGUAAGGUAGAUUUAUAAAUGAUCAUCUAGACUAUCCCAUGAAGCAGUAUUGUUGUCUUGUAUGUAGUUGUAUUGUUUUCUUCUGGCUAGACUUAGAUAUUCCAAGAGGGAUGUCUUCCAUUUGCAUUUGGAAACUGCCUCUCUGGAAAUUGUUCACUUCAUUGUUUACUAUUUAUACCUUUGGAUACUUACGGAUUGCCAAACCAUUUUCAAAAACUUUAUUUUUUAUCUUUCUUCCAGAGAAGCCAUCACAAUUCAAUAAACAAAAUAACACCAACUCUUUUUUAUAUGGU